This 503-nucleotide ribosomal RNA is filed under the name uncultured bacterium. RNAcentral describes it as "bacterial SSU rRNA". It matches the Rfam family "Bacterial small subunit ribosomal RNA", at positions 505 to 1009 of the family's 1533-position model. The record is from RNAcentral.
GUGCCAGCAGCUGCGGUAAUACGGAGGGUGCAAGCGUUAAUCGGAAUUACUGGGCGUAAAGCGCACGCAGGCGGUUUGUUAAGUCAGAUGUGAAAUCCCCGGGCUCAACCUGGGAACUGCAUCUGAUACUGGCAAGCUUGAGUCUCGUAGAGGGGGGUAGAAUUCCAGGUGUAGCGGUGAAAUGCGUAGAGAUCUGGAGGAAUACCGGUGGCGAAGGCGGCCCCCUGGACGAAGACUGACGCUCAGGUGCGAAAGCGUGGGGAGCAAACAGGAUUAGAUACCCUGGUAGUCCACGCCGUAAACGAUGUCGACUUGGAGGUUGUGCCCUUGAGGCGUGGCUUCCGGAGCUAACGCGUUAAGUCGACCGCCUGGGGAGUACGGCCGCAAGGUUAAAACUCAAAUGAAUUGACGGGGGCCCGCACAAGCGGUGGAGCAUGUGGUUAAUUCGAUGCAACGCGAAGAACCUUACCUGGUCUGUACAUCCACGGAAGUUUCAGAGAUGA